UGGGGAAUAUUGGACAAUGGGCGAAAGCCUGAUCCAGCAACGCCGCGUGAGGGAUGACUGCCUUCGGGUUGUAAACCUCUUUCAGCAGGGACGAAGCGCAAGUGACGGUACCUGCAGAAGAAGCACCGGCCAACUACGUGCCAGCAGCCGCGGUAAUACGUAGGGUGCGAGCGUUGUCCGGAAUUAUUGGGCGUAAAGGGCUCGUAGGCGGUUUGUCACGUCGGGAGUGAAAACUCAGGGCUUAACCCUGAGCCUGCUUCCGAUACGGGCAGACUAGAGGUAUGCAGGGGAGAACGGAAUUCCUGGUGUAGCGGUGAAAUGCGCAGAUAUCAGGAGGAACACCGGUGGCGAAGGCGGUUCUCUGGGCAUUACCUGACGCUGAGGAGCGAAAGUGUGGGGAGCGAACAGG
This 409-nucleotide ribosomal RNA is filed under the name uncultured prokaryote. Its description in RNAcentral is "bacterial SSU rRNA". It matches the Rfam family "Bacterial small subunit ribosomal RNA", at positions 355 to 776 of the family's 1533-position model. The record is from RNAcentral. RNAcentral also lists the same sequence under 1 other name.